UUAAAGCUCUUUUGUCAGGGAAGAAACGGUAGAGGUUAAUAUCCUUUGCUAAGGACGGUACCUGAAGAAUAAGCACCGGCUAAUUACGUGCCAGCAGCCGCGGUAAUACGUAGGGUGCAAGCGUUAAUCGGAAUUACUGGGCGUAAAGCGUGCGCAGGCGGUUUUGUAAGUCUGUCGUGAAAUCCCCGGGCUCAACCUGGGAAUUGCGAUGGAGACUGCAAGGCUAGAAUCUGGCAGAGGGGGGUAGAAUUCCACGUGUAGCAGUGAAAUGCGUAGAGAUGUGGAGGAACACCGAUGGCGAAGGCAGCCCCCUGGGUCAAGAUUGACGUUCAUGCACGAAAGCGUGGGGAGCAAGCAGGAUUAGAUACCCUGGUAGUCCAC
This 381-nucleotide ribosomal RNA is filed under the name uncultured bacterium. RNAcentral describes it as "bacterial SSU rRNA". It matches the Rfam family "Bacterial small subunit ribosomal RNA", at positions 425 to 798 of the family's 1533-position model. The record is from RNAcentral.